AUGGCCGAGUGGUCUAAGGCGCCAGACUCAAGUUCUGGUCCUCUUACGAGGGCGUGGGUUCAAACCCCACUUCUGACAUCACAAUUUUGCUCUUUUUUUCCUGCUAUAUUCUUUUUUCUUUUUUAUAAAGAUGAUUUUUUCCAUUUCUUUUCAAGCCAGGGAUUGCCAAUCCCUUCCCUUGCAGUUUGUUUUGCCCUUUUUUCUCUUGCUAUAUUCUUAUAUAUAUAUAUAUAUAUAUAUAUAUGA
Molecule: ribosomal RNA, 246 nt
Filed under: Triticum aestivum (bread wheat)
Lineage: Eukaryota; Viridiplantae; Streptophyta; Magnoliopsida; Poales; Poaceae
Description: partial small subunit ribosomal RNA
Rfam family: tRNA (bases 1-78)
Source: RNAcentral